UCUAUCUCCAUAUGAGCAUGGGCAAAUAUCUCCUCAAGCUCCACUUGCCUUUUGAAAGCAAGUUCCUUCAUUCUGCUUGACUUUAGCUGAUCAAGACUUUCUACUUCUACCUGCGCCUUCAAGACAAAAGAAAAUAAAUACAAAUCCAGAGCAAGAGCACCAGGAACAGUCAUUUCAUCAACUGAUGCAGAGAUGUUGCAAGUAACAUGGUUGAAUAAUCUCCUUUCAUCUUCAGGUGUGUCCAUCAAAUUCCAAAGAUCAAUUAGCUUAGCUUCCAGCUCUUGAAGCUGUCAAAAGAGGAACAAGUUGAUUUAAUAUAUUAACUCCUUGGAAUAGAGGUAUAAAGUUGAAUAUAGUAUAAAGUUCAUAUUUAUGCCCGUAAUAAAGACAAAUCCAU
Hibiscus syriacus is the source of this 397-nucleotide long non-coding RNA. RefSeq lists it as uncharacterized. Lineage: Eukaryota; Viridiplantae; Streptophyta; Magnoliopsida; Malvales; Malvaceae. The record is from RefSeq and is a predicted model, not a curated record. The transcript is spliced from 2 exons.